Molecule: ribosomal RNA, 116 nt
Filed under: Trebouxiophyceae sp. MX-AZ01
Lineage: Eukaryota; Viridiplantae; Chlorophyta; Trebouxiophyceae
Source: RNAcentral
UGGUGCACUUGCUGCAAUGGGACCACGCCAAUCCAUCCCGAACUUGGACGUGAAACGUUGCAGGGGCAACAAUACUUGUGGGGCGACCCACCGGGAAGAUCCCCUUGUGCCAAGGA